This 453-nucleotide ribosomal RNA is filed under the name uncultured bacterium. RNAcentral describes it as "bacterial SSU rRNA". It matches the Rfam family "Bacterial small subunit ribosomal RNA", at positions 340 to 786 of the family's 1533-position model. The record is from RNAcentral.
UACGGAAGGCAGCAGUGGGGAAUAUUGCACAAUGGGCGCAAGCCUGAUGCAGCCAUGCCGCGUGUAUGAAAAAGGCCUUCGGGUCGUAAAGUACUUUCAGUCGUGAGGAAGGUGUUAAGGUUAAUAACCUUAGCAAUUGACGUUAGCGACAGAAGAAGCACCGGCUAACUCCGUGCCAGCAGCCGCGGUAAUACGGAGGGUGCGAGCGUUAAUCGGAAUUACUGGGCGUAAAGGGCACGCAGGCGGUUAAUUAAGUUGGAUGUGAAAUCCCCGGGCUUAACCUGGGAAUGGCAUUCAAGACUGGUUAGCUAGAGUCUUGUAGAGGGGGUAGAAUUCCAUGUGUAGCGGUGAAAUGCGUAGAGAUGUGGAGGAAUACCGGUGGCGAAGGCGGCCCCUGGACAAAGACUGACGCUCAUGUGCGAAAGCGUGGGGAGCAAACAGGGAUUAGAUACC